CUGAACAGUCCAUUUCCCGGUCCCUUUCAUACCAGUCUUAUCCAAAAUCUUAUCCACCAACUCUCCAUCACCAAACUCAUCCUUAACCCUAAAGAUAUCGGAAGUAAUCUCAACCAAGAAACUCUCGAGCUCACCUCGGUUCCACUCCGUGAAGAUCUCCGCAAGCUCCUCGUUGCUCAACCCACCAACGUUCUUCAACACGUCGUAAGCCUCAGAGAUAAGCUGCAUAUCUCCAUACUCAAUCCCAUUAUGAACCAUCUUCACGAAGUUUCCAGAUCCGCCUUCUCCGAUGUAAGUAACGCAAGGCCCGUCCUCAACCUGAGCCGCCACUUUCCCCAAGAUGUCUUUGAUGUUAUCAUACGCCUGAAACGACCCUCCUGGCAUCAGCGAGGGACCGUUACGAGCCCCUUCCUCGCCGCCGGAGACUCCCAUCCCCAAGUAGAGCAAUCCUUUCUGCUCAGCUUCGGAGAUCCGUCGCUCUGUGUUCUGGUACCACUCGUUUCCUCCGUCGAUGAUGCAGUCUCCGGGCUCCAUGUACUCGGAGAAGGCAGCGAUGGUCUGGUCGACGGGGGCUCCGGCUUUGACGAGGAUGAUGAGGGAACGAGGGCGUUGGAGCGAGAGGACGAAGUCGCGCGGGGAGUAUUGGCCGGAGACCGGGAGGUUUCCUUCGACGGCGGCGCGAUCUAGGGUCUCGUCGACUUUGGAGGUGGUCCGGUUGUAGACGGAGAUUGGGAAGCCUUUCUCGGCGAUGUUCAAGGCGA
This 761-nucleotide long non-coding RNA is filed under the name Brassica rapa (field mustard). RNAcentral's name for it is "long non-coding RNA (BRAP_LNC006413)". The record is from RNAcentral. Lineage: Eukaryota; Viridiplantae; Streptophyta; Magnoliopsida; Brassicales; Brassicaceae.